Dermacentor albipictus is the source of this 4648-nucleotide long non-coding RNA. RefSeq lists it as uncharacterized. The record is from RefSeq and is a predicted model, not a curated record. NCBI's taxonomy places the organism in Eukaryota, Metazoa, Arthropoda, Arachnida, Ixodida, Ixodidae.
AUCUUGCUGCGAAAGCAAGUUUCCGUAGCGGCAGCGUCACAGACGAAAUCCAGAUUAGCUCGUGCGAAUGACUUCGCAAUUCUAGUCAGUUCAGCAAUGCACGCUACCGCAUGCCUGUUCUGAACCGAUCCCAUUCGUAGUUGCGUGCUGCCAUGUGGUGUACUUGAUGGAAGUCGGGCGUUAUACUUUAUUGACCUAUGCGCAGAUAAGUUUUACGGAAAACUACAGAUUCAUCCGGCUGCAAAGAUGAGUCAGAAUACGAUACGACAGAGAACAAUUGCGUAUUUUAUUCGUUUUUUUUUUUCUGUCCAAGAACAAUUUUUUUUUUCUUGAUCGAAGCAGUGUAGUUACCACUUCUCGUAAGGCCCACUUGUUUGGCACCGGCGGCACAAGAUUCUUCGACCACGAGAGGUGUUCUUAAGCGCCGAGCUUUCAGUACCAAAUCAACCGUGGCAACUGCUAUGCUGUAAGCUGCACCAUUUGCCACUGAGUCGCUGGCCGGACACCAGUGGGCUACGACUGGACAGAAAAGAAAAAGUUCUUCGUCUUCCUGAAAUGGCAGGCAGGGGUAAAGAAAUGAACCGCUGCGGCGAGCGUGACAAGGACGAGGAAAGCCAGUCUGGUAGCCGGGAAUCGAACGCCGAAGCUAAACUUUGUAGUCCUGACGCCGUAGUAACUUCUGGCUCAACCGAGUUGUACUAUGAGCCUGCGCAAAGUUUAUCCGGGGGCAACGUACAAGAACAAUCGAUGAGUGAAGCGUGUGGCAAGGACGACCGACAUCCUCCGACAGCCCAAACGCCUUCGACCGCUAAGGCCAAUCUCGGUAACGCUAGUUGCAGUUCAGGGCUGGCGAGCCCUUUUGCUGCAGAAGACCAAACAAGAACGGUCUCAGCGGAGAAGUAUCAGGGCACGCGUCCGGCACUACAACACAAGAAACACACUACAGCAGACGCGUGCACAGUGUUUAUCGGUGGUUACGAUGCCACACAGCAGGCAACUGCUUCUACGACGGCGGCUGCGGGAGUGAGAAUGCCGACGGCUGCAAGUCGACACCACACAACCUUUGAUCAGAGCACAACCCUGAGCGGCACCCCUCCGAGUGACCGAAUUGAUUGCAGCGGGAAAACUAGUCCGUUUUUCUCUCAAAUGCCUCAACUGCCAUUUAGAAAUCCUGAAAGCCCGACUGCCUCAACCUUGUCCAAGAGUUCGGGUCAUGGUAAAGGACGGGCCGAGCAACAAGGAAAAACAUCGUGCUCAGGUGCUGCUUCUGCUGCUGCAAGUAAACACGGAAUCUGCAAGGACAUUAACCCCGGCGAUGCUCUUGUCAGCACGGAUUUUUCCACUGCUGGUGCGGCUGGUAUGCAGUCGGGCCAAUUUACCCCGCAGUUCCCGCAGGCGUCUUCUCAGUCGCCUGGAGUUGCUCUUGGGCGUGCUCUCCUUAAACCAUCUUUGGCAAAACCUUCUUCUCCGCCACCAGCGCACCAAUCACAUUUACAAAGCUCUAGGCCACUUUUGCCUACUGCGAGAAAUCGGCACCAGUUUAUCCUGCCACAUGUAAUUACACAGGUUACGCAAGAAGGGCUUGCCCGACGAAACCCCAAUUUACCUACGUCAUCUUCGAAUGUAGCCCAGAACAACCCCCCCGGCAUGGCGAGUUCCGGCCUGUACGCGACGCUGCCUUGUCACACUGAUACUGCUAGACUUUUGCUCGCAAUACAAGGCCACCAACCUAUGCAGCCGCCUUUGCCAGCUUUCAAUACGGCGCCUACGUGGAACCCGAUGGAACAAGCGGUGAGUCGUACAAGUGUUCCAUAUACACCACUCCUUAUGGUGUCGCCACAACAGCCCCAGCAGUGGCAGAUGGGCCUUCCGAUGCCACUUACGCAGAGGGCGACAGCGGUCACGGGAACACAUCCGCGAACCACGCAGUCAGUUAUGCAAGCUCAGGUAGCGCCACCUGCUGCGCAGUCGAUGACAGAAAGGGAAGCUUUUGAGAUAAUAUCCGCCAUACAAUUAGAAGCCUACAGGUGUGCACAACAAGCAAUGCUUCGUCGCAAGGUACGUGAAGACAGGCCGGUAUCGGAGCAUGCAAGGAUGCAGGCUGUUUUAAGGUGGCUAUACGACUGCGAGCGAUCGUGCCCUCUAGAGACGCCAGAGUACCUGCCAAACGAAAUACCACAACAGCAACCAGCAGAAAGUGGGACAGAGCCACCACAUAGCCAACCAACGCUUGCGCAUAACGAGCAACCGCAUGAAACAGCACCAGCCGCCACGAGUCCCACCGUAACAACCGGCAACGUUCAGACAAGUGAAACGACCACUUUGAUGCAUCGACGCCAUUCACUUCAAGCGGCGAUGACACAACGGCAGCUACAGGCACCAGUGCGUCGUCGCAGUAAUCCGGAAGAGUGGACUUCAGGGCCGCAAUCACAGUUGCACCAAGGAUCAUUGCGCGGUACACUGUCUCGGCCUGGCAGAGCCCCAAAAGGUCAAGGGGUGCGGCGAGGAGUGCCGCGGAGGGCAAAACUUGCUAGUAAAGAAGAUGCCUCUGACGUCUACCUUCCACCUUCUUCGACGGAACGUUCUCAUACUCAAAGCGGAAGUGAAGCCUUGCGCUCUUUACGCGUCCGAGAUGGUGCAUCCACCAAGCGCGGCCGCUCAUCCAGGAGAGGCCGGCCCCCUAAAACACGCGCUGCGUUUCAGACAUCGUGUGCAAGAGCGCAAGGAUCUAAGUAUAAUCGGCUUGAAAGUAGUGAAGCUGCAUCGAGCGGGCGACGCCCUCAAUCUCAAGCACUUAGUCGGCCAAGGCUUGCGCAUAAGAAGCGACCGCAUGAAACAAUACCAGCCGCCACGGGUUCCGCCGCAACAACCGGCAACGUUCAGACAAGUGAGAACCCCACUUUGACGCAUCGACGCCAUUCACUUCAAUCGACCAUGACACAACGGCAGCUACAGGCACCGUUGGAUCGUCACAGUUAUCCGGAAGAGGGGACUUUCGGGCCGCAGUCACAGUUGCACCAAGGAUCAUUGCGUGGUACACUGUCUCGGCCUGGCAGAGCCACAAAAGGUCAAGGGGCGCGGCGAGGAGCACCGCGGAGGGCAAAACUUGCCAGUAAAGAAGAUGCCUCUGAUGUCUACCUUCCACCUACUUCGACGGAAGGUUCUCACACUCAAAGCGGAAGUGAAGCCCUGCGCUCUUUACGCGUCCGAGAUGGCGCCUCCACCAAUCGCGGCCGCUCAUCCAGGAGAGGCCGGCCCCCUAAAACACGCACUGCGGCUCAGACGUCGAGUGCAAGAGCGCAAGGACUUCAGAAUGAUCUGCUUCAAAGUAGCGAAGCUGCAUCGAGCGAGCGACACCCUCUAUCUCAAGUGUCUGCGGCAUCAAUGCCAGCUAAAGCUACCGAAUGCCCACGCCGGGUGCAAGAAGCACCAGAUUAUCAGGUAGGGCAAGAUAACACGUUGCACCAGAUGAGUUUAGAACGAGACGCAACAUCGAGAGUUUCACUGGGUCAGGACAUUAGGUUCGAGGAUCUUUCGAACGAAACACGGAGAUCAAGUGAGGGCGCAGAGCGUACGAAAAAUGAAACUUCUUCCGAGCCGACGAGCUCCAGAGAAGCACGGCAUAACAAUGGAAGUAUAGGUCGCACGGCAACACUAAAGGAAAAGCGGCCACCACCAAGAAAACGGAAAAACGCGGUCGAGGAUGGUAACUCCACACCUUCCAAACGGGGUUCGUCAUCCCAGGGUCACAAUUCCAGCCUUCCCGAAAUUGAGACUUCCUCCGUCGAACAGCAAGAAGCAAAGGAUGAGUCUUCUCCGGAGCAGGCUCGAUGUGCAAUGUUUCAAAGGCUACAGUCUUCGUUUUUCGAAAGUUAUACGUACGUGGAAUCUGAAGAAGAUAGUCAAUUAGGCUUAUCUCCAUGUCCGCCACUGUGGACUACUUCGGGGCAACCUCGGUCACUCCAAGAGUUGCUCACUCCACCAAGCGAUAUGUCCCCUUCUGCGUUGCCCCAAUGCGGAUUCGGUGACUCGAAGGAUUGCGCUAUAAUCACGCCGUCGCCUCUGCAGCCGGAAGUUAUGCAGCACGCGAAGCGGUCCGUAGGAAAGCUUUUCACAAGCGUCUCCAAAAGACCUCACUUGUGGCUCGACAGUCCAAGUAUUCUUCCACCAAUUCACCGAACUGGAGAACGUGACUACAGUUGUACAAGUGUGCUGACCAUGGACAGAGAUAGCGAUCACAGCAAAGCCGUGGUUCCUUCCCCAAACUGUUAACACUGUACUCAGUUAUUGCAAAAAUGUGUGCACGUGGUUGAAAUGCCCGCAGUGGCAGGUAUACUACGUGAUCUGGAGUGUCAAGGGCGAGCUUUUAUCUCAUCUCACAGUCACGACGUCUAGACAAAUCACCAAUACCUCGCUGGCGAAGAGAAUUGUGUGCUUGCCCGGUUUCACAAACGGGUGUCAUCAUGACAGGUGCAUUUGCAUGUCAAGAAUAACAAGGCAUUUGCCAGCUCAAGUGGAGUUAGGUAUCCUCUCAAUGACCAUGAGUUCUUUGCCGCACAGGCUUCAUAAGAAAGCUGCCGUUAUCUCUUACUGAAGGACGUUGGGAUCGAUGUUGAAGUGUUGAUCUUAAUAAAAAGCGAAAAUUGCA